GAAACGACAACUUUCCUACCAUCUUGGAGGCAGAGGAGAGAGGGGCCAAGGGGAGAGGUGCACCGGCUCGGGAUAAAGUCCAAAUUUCUACCUCUCGUCUCUGGAAAAAGCCCAUACUUGUGGAAAAGCAGGGAAGAAACAGAAACGAGGUCGUGUGCUCCGUGGUGGGGAAUGUUUCUGCACCUUCUGAUGGAAAGAAAUCUUUACAAGACCCAGAACACACGGAGAAUUUGAGUGUACAUAUUCAAGAACAAAAGACUGUGAAGCUAGAAUGCAACUGUAGCAUUAAACAGCGGUGCCUCAAAACGUGGAUUUGUACCAACUAGAAGAACAACAUCUGCUUCUUCCACACCAGCAAUUGUGGUAUUGAGAAGAUAACUGGAACGAAAACAAUGGCUGCGAACAGUUGUAGCACUCAUCUUCAAUCCAAGUACUUAGGAGGUAAAGACAGAAAGUUCUUCUGCUACACAGAGUUCAAGGCCAGUCUGGGCUACAAGAGACUCAAAAAUCAAAACGAAAUCCAAACCAUCAGCCUGGAGCACAGCUGAGUGUUUCUCACCCAGCUCCUUCGGUGGGGAAGAUCUCCUCAGUGCAUAAGUUGUCAGAGUCAACUUUAUUCAGCAAGUCUUUCAGAGCUACUAAGGCUUCAGCAUCCACCAAGCCACCUGCAAUG
This 673-nucleotide long non-coding RNA is filed under the name Mus pahari (shrew mouse). RNAcentral's name for it is "lncRNA (MGP_PahariEiJ_G0005941.1)". The record is from RNAcentral. Lineage: Eukaryota; Metazoa; Chordata; Mammalia; Rodentia; Muridae.